Oncorhynchus kisutch (coho salmon) is the source of this 898-nucleotide long non-coding RNA. RefSeq lists it as uncharacterized. The record is from RefSeq and is a predicted model, not a curated record. NCBI's taxonomy places the organism in Eukaryota, Metazoa, Chordata, Actinopteri, Salmoniformes, Salmonidae. The transcript has 3 exons.
CUGUCAGCCUGGAGGAAGAUGACAGCUCUCUACCUGGUCCCUGAGUACAUCAUUCUGGGGACACCAGCAGGGAAACCUACACAUCAGACACCUGUACAGUCUGGCGCUGGCGGUGUCUCCCCUGCCGUUGAAGGUGGCUGUGAGGAGUGUGUCGGUGACCAGAGAGAGUAGCCACAUCCUGGUGGGCCUGCAGGAUGGAAAGCUCAUCGUGGUGGGGGCUGGGAAACCAGAGGAGGUACGCUCGGGUCAGUUUUCCCGUCGGCUGUGGGGCUCAACACGCCGAAUCUCUCAGGUUUCCUCAGGAGAGACAGAAUACAACCCCACUGAGACUUCUGGGAAGUGAGGGUCGCCAUGAAAACAUACAGAAGGCAAUAUUAUCGUAGCCUGUUAGACUCACCCGAGGCUUGGUUGAUGGCCGACACCCAAAUGGCAUCCUAUUCCUAUAUAGUGCCUAUUGGGUUCUGGUCAAGAACAGCAGUAUAUAGGGAACAGGGUGCCAUUUGGGACACAGACAUUUUUCUACCCACCAGCAGUGGAUUUGCUGGAUCAGAAUGAAGGGAGUAGAGACCCUGGAUGUUGGCGUCAGAAAGCCCACCCAGAACUUUGCUGGACAGGAUUGACUGUUAAACGGCCUCUCCAAACCUCUCUGGGUCCAAACCUCUAUGGGUUCAAGCCUCUAUGGGUUCAAGCCUCUAUGGGUUCAAGCCUCUAUGGGUCCAAGCCUCUAUGGGUUCAAGCCUCUAUGGGUUCAAGCCUCUAUGGGUUCAAGCCUCUAUGGGUUCAAGCCUCUAUGGGUUCAAGCCUCUAUGGGUUCAAGCCUCUGAGCGCUCCGAGAGAGACAUGAUAAACAAAGGCCUUUUUUUUCUACAAAAGGGAAAAUAAAAUAUUUUUUGAUUUA